Long non-coding RNA from Oryzias melastigma (Indian medaka), 718 nucleotides. RefSeq lists it as uncharacterized. NCBI's taxonomy places the organism in Eukaryota, Metazoa, Chordata, Actinopteri, Beloniformes, Adrianichthyidae. The transcript is spliced from 2 exons. The record is from RefSeq and is a predicted model, not a curated record.
GCAGGUGCUGCCCUGCUGAGCUGUGCCAGAAGAUCACCUGCUUUCCUACCUGUGACAUGACAGCGUCAAUGCAGCUAGUGGCUAUGAACCUUUAUUGCCAUUGCUGCUUCAUCAUUUGCCUGCUGUGCGCCUUGAAUGUUAUGGUGAGACUGGACCUUCCUCGUCUAUUGAAUUUGGAUCUGAUGGUGUUGCCCUCUCUCUCCACCUCCUUCCCUGGAUUUACAUGAUGCACGAACACAAAUCUGUGUUUCCCUUUACCACCACAAAAUGUACCUGACACUCCCUGGUGGACAAGAAAGUCUCAGCCCUGGCAAGCAGAGGAAAAAGUCACUGACAGUCUGCUGAUCCACUCACUCAUGCAUCCUGAUAUCUCUCCUGUGUGAGUUCUCAUGUGUUUUGAGAUUUUACAUUCUGUACAGGAAAAAGGCUUUUCUCCUGUGUGAAGCCUCAUGUAUACUGAUGGCUGCUCUGAGUAAAACUUCCAUCACAUUUUUUCACAAGAAUAGGCCUCUCUGCUGUGUGACUGUAUGAGACCAGGGCAAUAAUUAAACUUAUGUACAGAAAAAGGCUUUUCUCCUGUGAGUUCUCGCGUAUUUGGAUAUUGGAACUAUUACCAAAAGUGAUGUUAGCUUUGCAAGCUCCUCUGUAUGAAUUAUCAUAUGUGCUUUGAGAUUUCUAUGUACAUGCUGACUACUUGCAUUAAAGUUCUGCUUUUUUA